GCCCCAGUAACGGCGAGUGAAGCGGCAACAGCUCAAAUUUGAAAUCUGGCCCCCAGGGUCCGAGUUGUAAUUUGCAGAGGAUGCUUUUGGCAAGGUGCCUUCCGAGUUCCCUGGAACGGGACGCCAUAGAGGGUGAGAGCCCCGUCUGGUUGGAUACCGAGCCUCUGUAAAGCUCCUUCGACGAGUCGAGUAGUUUGGGAAUGCUGCUCUAAAUGGGAGGUAUAUGUCUUCUAAAGCUAAAUAUUGGCCAGAGACCGAUAGCGCACAAGUAGAGUGAUCGAAAGAUGAAAAGCACUUUGAAAAGAGGGUUAAAUAGUACGUGAAAUUGUUGAAAGGGAAGCGCUCAUGACCAGACUUGGGCCCGGUGAAUCAUCCAGCGCUCGUCGCUGGUGCACUUUGCCGGGCUCAGGCCAGCAUCAGUUCGCUCCGGGGGACAAAGGCUCUGGGAAUGUGGCUCCUCCGGGAGUGUUAUAGCCCACUGCGCAAUACCCUGGGGCGGACUGAGGUUCGCGCAUUCGUGCAAGGAUGCUGGCGUAAUGGUCAUCAGUGA
Molecule: ribosomal RNA, 550 nt
Filed under: Paecilomyces sp.
Lineage: Eukaryota; Fungi; Ascomycota; Eurotiomycetes; Eurotiales; Thermoascaceae
Description: LSU rRNA
Rfam family: Eukaryotic large subunit ribosomal RNA
Source: RNAcentral